AUUGAACGCUGGCGGCAUGCCUUACACAUGCAAGUCGAACGGCAGCGGACCUUCGGGUGCCGGCGAGUGGCGAACGGGUGAGUAAUGCAUCGGAACGUGCCAUUGAGUGGGGGAUAACGUAGCGAAAGUUACGCUAAUACCGCAUAUUCUGUGAGCAGGAAAGCAGGGGACCGCAAGGCCUUGCGCUCUUUGAGCGGCCGAUGUCAGAUUAGCUAGUUGGUGAGGUAAAGGCUUACCAAGGCGACGAUCUGUAGCGGGUCUGAGAGGAUGAUCCGCCACACUGGAACUGAGACACGGUCCAGACUCCUACGGGAGGCAGCAGUGGGGAAUAUUGGACAAUGGGCGAAAGCCUGAUCCAGCAAUGCCGCGUGAGUGAUGAAGGCCUUAGGGUUGUAAAGCUCUUUUACCUAGGGAUGAUAAUGACAGUACCUGGAGAAUAAGCUCCGGCUAACUCCGUGCCAGCAGCCGCGGUAAUG
This 476-nucleotide ribosomal RNA is filed under the name uncultured bacterium. RNAcentral's name for it is "bacterial SSU rRNA". It matches the Rfam family "Bacterial small subunit ribosomal RNA", at positions 30 to 525 of the family's 1533-position model. The record is from RNAcentral.